RNAcentral lists this ribosomal RNA (460 nucleotides) under uncultured bacterium. Its description in RNAcentral is "partial 16S ribosomal RNA". It matches the Rfam family "Bacterial small subunit ribosomal RNA", at positions 338 to 795 of the family's 1533-position model. The record is from RNAcentral.
CCUACGGGAGGCUGCAGUGAGGAAUAUUGGUCAAUGGGCGCGAGCCUGAACCAGCCAAGUAGCGUGAAGGAUGACUGCCCUACGGGUUGUAAACUUCUUUUAUAAAGGCAUAAAGUGAGGCACGUGUGCCUUUUUGUCUGGACUUUAUGAAUAAGGAUCGGCUAACUCCGUGCCAGCAGCCGCGGUAAUCCGGAGGAUCCGAGCGUUAUCCGGAUUUAUUGGGUUUAAAGGGAGCGUAGAUGGUUAGUUAAGUCAGUUGUGAAAGUUUGCGGCUCAACCGUAAAAUUGCAAUUGAUACUGGCAGCCUUGAGUGCAGUUGAGGUAGGCGGAAUUCGUGGUGUAGCGGUGAAAUGCUUAGAUAUCACGAAGAACACCGAUUGCGAAGGCAGCUUACUAAACUGCCACUGACACUGAUGCUCGAAAGUGUGGGUAUCAAACAGGAUUAGAGACCCCUGUAGUC